GACGAACCGUCCAAACGUUAUUCGGAAUUACUGGGCUUAAAGGGUUCGUAGGCGGCUUUGUAAGUGAGAUGUGAAAUCCCACGGCCCAACCGUGGAAGUGCAUUUCAUACUGCAAGGCUUGAGGGAGACAGAGGUAAGCGGAACUGAUGGUGGAGCGGUGAAAUGCGUUGAUAUCAUCAGGAACACCGGUGGCGAAAGCGGCUUACUGGGUCUCUUCUGACGCUGAGGAACGAAAGCCAGGGGAGCGAACGGG
This 253-nucleotide ribosomal RNA is filed under the name uncultured bacterium. Its description in RNAcentral is "partial 16S ribosomal RNA". It matches the Rfam family "Bacterial small subunit ribosomal RNA", at positions 524 to 776 of the family's 1533-position model. The record is from RNAcentral.